AACUACAGCAGAAGCCACCAGAGGCUGGCAGACACUCUAACCCUUCCUCCCCCCGGAAAAGGCUGAUCUCCUCAGCUCUAACUGGUAGGAAGGGGAAUUUCGUGCUCCUCUCUCUACAGCGUGCUCCUCCGCACCGCCCUGCCCAUUGCUUGCUGAUGUCCCUGCUGUGUGGAUCCUGGCAGGUCCCAACCCUUCUCUUAACUUCAGUUUCCUCAUCUCAAGAAUAAUGACCACUACAGUAACAGCAGGUGUGCGGCCGGGACCGCCAGGACCGCAUCCAUCCUCAAAAGGCGCUGGCGAGCAGCCUGCAAAGGAGGAUUCACUAUCUCAACUCGAAGAUGAGGAAGCAGAGACCCAGCCAUGGUGGGCCCCUGUCCCAGGGCUCAUGCCCGUGUAGGGUGGGCAGCCAGGCCUAGAACCCAGGACAAAAGUGGAGUGGGGUGAGAAGAGGCAGCCAUGAGGGGCCCAUCUGGUGGCCUCAGCAUGUUAAGAAACAAAUGGGUCCCCAGGCUAGGGGCACAGCGCAACAGAAGCAUCGAGGGCCUCUGCUCUGAGAGCCUCGUUCCUUCCCUCCUGACGAGCUGCAGUGGGCAGAUGGAUUCACAUCCAGGAUAAAUCAAAGUUGGGGAAGGAACUUUUCAUUCAUAACAGCCUCUGUUUACAGAAGAGAAUCUUCCAAAGAGUGGAGUCUCCAGGGGAGGAAAAAUUGCCAAUAGCGUCCUGAAGGCUAACAGCUGGUGGCCACAGCUUCCCGGUGUGAAGCGAGAGAGGCAGGGGUGUGCGCACCCAGGGAGGCGGUGCUCCUGCUGCCCACUCUGGGCAUCGUCACUCCCUUUUACUGCCCCCUUCACUCAGGCUGGAAGCCCACCUUCUAGCAGCCGAGUGCAGCGGGGGAGGGAUUCUCCUUCAGCCCUCAGAAUAUUUGGGAAGGGAGAACAGAAGUGGGGGUUGGUGUGAGGGGUGGAGUGUAUUCUCGGCCUGCCAGCUCCCAACCCCUGUCAUCGGGAUAUCCACAGGUCAAAAGCCCUGGCUUUUCAUCCCACAGGGCCACCAAGCCUGUGAGACGAGUGCAGGACCUGGGUUUCUGAACCCAUUUUGCAGAGAGGGAAGCUAAGGCACUGUGGGCUGUCUUCCUCUCUGCUGUCUCUCCCCACCAUCACCCCAGAAUGCCCACAGGACACGAUACCAGGUCAGCCCCCACCAGCACAGCAGAAAGUCCCUGCCCGACAGCAGCAGCUCUGGGCAGAGGGGGUUUCCAGGAGUCAGUCUCCGGGAGGCGGGGCAGGGGGUGGGGCACCCACAGACUAAUGGGGAGGCCCCACGACUAGCUCAUUCCCUCCCCCUCCCAACAACUCCCUGCUGGAGGGCAUUGGUGGGUUCCUGAUGGGGCCUCAGCAGGAGAGGUGGAGAAGCUGGGAGGUCUUAGAUGCAACUCCCUGCCUCCCAACUCUGAGAUGGGAGGCUGGGAAGGCACAGAGGAGACACCUGAAAAGGAGAAGGCCUAGUUCAAGUCCCAACUCUGCCUCCACUUGCUGUGUGACCUAAGGCAAGCUGCUUACCCUCUCUGAGCCUGUUUCCUCACCUUGAGAGAGCCUGAUCACACCUACCUUACGAAGCUGUAUGGGAACCUGCUCUGUAGACUGGAAAGUGCCGUCCAGAGGCGAGGGGGAUUCAGGCUCUGCCCCUGGCCACACAGCACUGAGGACUCAUGCAGCUCUGUGCUUAAAGCGGCUGGGGGCCCCUCCUCCUGUCCAGCAGCCAUCUCCAGUAGUCCAGAUGCUGGGCCUUCACCUCCCAGUUGCCAAGAAAAGCCACAGGGAGGGGAGGAGGGAGAGCAGAAGCUCCAACCAGCAGAGGAGCUCAACACUCAGGAGGGCAGGGUGAGAAGAGAAGCUGGAGACCCACCUUGACCCUCCUGUGGUCCAGGGGGAAACUGAGGCCCAGAGAAACUGAUGAUUAAAUCAAGGUCAGCUGUCCAGUUACAAGAGUAGCUGGAGCUAAAAGCUAGGCAGGGGAGGGGGCAAAAGGCAGGUGGAGGAAUGCACGGGUCGGUAGGCAGACAGACGGACACACAUACAUGAAGGAGCUUACUUUGGGGGCCAUCCUUUCCACUUCACCAGAUACUCGACUUUACCCUGAGAAGAGAGAGAAGCAGACACAGUGAGUCUCGUGGUUGCCCCUACAGCCACUCGGAAGGACAGUUAAGGCCCAAAGGAGCCCAACCCAAACCCCAUCUGCAGACAGGUGUCUCCCCAACACACAAACACAAUCCAGGGACUGUCCACCAGAUCCUCGACAACCCAUAUAACCGUGACUGCUGCAUGACCACCCCAUACUGCCCUCCCUAGGACAGCACAGGAGUGCAUCUGGCUCCAACCACCUCUGAGGCUCCUGAGGCCCAAGCCCAGGCCUCACAUCACACAUUGGGAGCUGAGACUGCAUGGAGGUGUGCGCGCGUGGCCAAAGACCCACAGUGUCUAGAGCUCCCGUGCACAGGUCGGAACGCUUACUUUCUUUUUUAGAUUGGAAGAGUCGCCAAAUACGAAAACAUUCCUCUCUGGGGUAGUCCCCACGCUCCUCCCCCAUCUGCUGAGUCUCCUCUCAGUCUCUGAGUGGCUGCCUCUGGCUCAGAGGUAAUGGGCCAGUGACUUGACGACUCUCAACUCGAAAGACCCUGGCAGGACCCCAUGGAAGACUGGCGAAGUCUCCACCUUCAGAAGGGGUGGUGAGCCCUGUGGUUGUUAGAAAGUAGAGCCAGGCCCCUCCCUUCCUCACAGGCUUUAAAAAUUUACAGUUACAGUGGCUCAAGCCUGUCAUCCCAACACUUUGGAAGGCUGAGGCUGGAAGAUCGCUUGAGCCCAGGAAGGAGUUUGAGACAAGCCUGGGCAACAUGGUGAGACCCCCGUCUCUGAAAAAAAGGAAAUUAGUCGGGCAUGGUGGCACUUGUCUGUGGUCCCAGCUACACAGGAGGCUGAGGCAAGAGGAUCGUUUGAGCCGGGGAGGUUGAGGCUGCAGUGAGCCAUGUUCAUGCCACUGCACUGCAGCCUGGGUGACAGAGUGAGGCCUUGGUGCCAAGAAAAAAAAAAAGUUUACAGUCCAACCCCAUUGUGAGUGAAGCCCCUGCACACCAGAACUUUAAGACCAAAAUAUGAUACCUCCUCAUAGAGGUUUUCCCUGGUGACCCUCUCCCAUGCUGUCUCCACUGGCACCUUGCAGUUCUAUUUCUGCAGAGCACACAGCUCCAACUGAAGGCAUCUGUCUGUAUCUCCUCAUUCACUGUGUGCCGCCUCUGCAGAAUGCCAGCUCCCUGAGGGAAGGGAUGGAUCCCUGGGGCUUAGACUGCUGCCUGGUACCUGAUAGAUCCUCAAUAAAUAUUUUGAGUGACUGGCCGAAGGAA
Symphalangus syndactylus (siamang) is the source of this 3397-nucleotide long non-coding RNA. RefSeq lists it as uncharacterized. The record is from RefSeq and is a predicted model, not a curated record. Lineage: Eukaryota; Metazoa; Chordata; Mammalia; Primates; Hylobatidae.